RNAcentral lists this microRNA (24 nucleotides) under Gossypium raimondii (Peruvian cotton). RNAcentral's name for it is "gra-miR8734". The record is from miRBase by way of RNAcentral. Lineage: Eukaryota; Viridiplantae; Streptophyta; Magnoliopsida; Malvales; Malvaceae.
GAUCAUAUCUCGUACGUUAGGACA